This 443-nucleotide ribosomal RNA is filed under the name uncultured bacterium. RNAcentral describes it as "partial 16S ribosomal RNA". It matches the Rfam family "Bacterial small subunit ribosomal RNA", at positions 338 to 795 of the family's 1533-position model. The record is from RNAcentral.
CCUACGGGAGGCUGCAGUGGGGAAUAUUGGGCAAUGGGCGCAAGCCUGACCCAGCAACGCCGCGUGAAGGAAGAAGGCUUUCGGGUUGUAAACUUCUUUUCUCAGGGACGAAGCAAGUGACGGUACCUGAGGAAUAAGCCACGGCUAACUACGUGCCAGCAGCCGCGGCAAUACGUAGGUGGCAAGCGUUAUCCGGAUUUACUGGGUGUAAAGGGCGUGUAGGCGGGGACGCAAGUCAGAUGUGAAAACCACGGGCUCAACCUGUAGCCUGCAUUUGAAACUGUGUUUCUUGAGUACUGGAGAGGCAGACGGAAUUCCUAGUGUAGCGGUGAAAUGCGUAGAUAUUAGGAGGAACACCAGUGGCGAAGGCGGUCUGCUAGACAGCGACUGACGCUGAGGCGCGAAAGCGUGGGGAGCAAACAGGAUUAGAUACCCGAGUAGUC